This is a non-coding RNA of Acanthosepion pharaonis, 102 nucleotides long. The record is from the annotation of a GenBank genome assembly. NCBI's taxonomy places the organism in Eukaryota, Metazoa, Mollusca, Cephalopoda, Sepiida, Sepiidae.
AGCCAUGGAACACUGGUUCUCAUACAAUCACUGAAGUUAAGCAAUGUCAAGCCUAGUCAGUACCUAGAUGGGUAACUGCUUGGGAAUACCAGGUGCUGUAAG